AUUGUGUUAUCUUUUUGGUGUGUGUUACCUUUUCGUAUAAUCCACAGAUGGUGCCUGCCCCAUAAAAACCCGUCUCCCAUUUUUCUUUCUAGCUUCCCACUUCUUAUCGAGAGAAAUCUUUCACUAUUCUUAAUAUAUAAACUGUUUAUUUAAAAGAGCAUUUCAUUUAGAGAAAUGAAAAAAAAAAAAAAAAGAGAGGCAAUUCUCAGAAAACGUAAAAGAAAAAGUGAAACAUGUGAUGUGAUGAUCAGGUAGGGGCGCAGAACAUAACAUAACGUCUCAAGACAAAAUGUUUUCGGAAUAUUCAUUUGUCCA
Molecule: long non-coding RNA, 315 nt
Organism: Arabidopsis thaliana (thale cress)
Lineage: Eukaryota; Viridiplantae; Streptophyta; Magnoliopsida; Brassicales; Brassicaceae
Product: other RNA
Exons: 1
Source: RefSeq